CUCCGCGGCCCCGCCCCGCGGGCCGGGCGCGCGCCCCUCGCUCCGGAAGCGCAUUCCUGACGGCCGCGCCUCGGGAGGCGCCCGGACAAAGGGCUCGGCCGGGCGGGGCCGCGCGGGGCCGGGCGCGCGCGGGGCGGCCGGCCGGGGGCCGCGGGGCCUCAGCCCCGUCUCCCGCGCCUGCGGGUCCGCGCGCCGGUGUCUCGGCCGCCGCUCUGAUCCCGGUGUUGUCUUUUAUCACGUGAUUGUGGGAGACCUGCUGGGAGUGAGAGCCCUCUGCCUUCUGAUGGUUGAGAACUCCUGAGACUCGGGGCAGCACUGUGAUGUAGCAGGUAAAGCCCCCACCUGCAGUGCCGGCAUCCCAUGUGGCCACUGCUCCACUUCCAAUCCAGCUCUCUGCUAUGGCCUGGGGAAGCAGUAGAAGAUGGCCCAAGUCCUUAGGCUCCUGCACCCGCAUGGGAGACCUGGAGGAAGCUCCUGGCUUCGGAUCUGCCCAGCUCCAGCUGUUGCAGCCAUGUGGGGAGUGAACCAGCAGAUGGAAGAUAUAUGUAUAUGUGUGUGUGUGUGUGUAUGUGUGUGUGUGUGUCUUUCUCUCCCCCCCCCCUUCUGCCUCUCUGUAACUCUGCUAUUCAAAUAAAUAAAUUGUUUAAAAAAAAAAAAAAGAACACCUGCGACUCAGAAUGGAUGCCUGCAUCUGUGAGAGUGAAAGGGUGAGACGUUCAGACAGACGACACAAGACCAGAUUUUCCUGGGGUUGGCCACAGACUGACACCAUCCAUACCAGAUCAUUUUUUACAUUUUUUUAUCUGUGUUUCAUUUACUGAAAGACAUUGAGACAGAAACAGAUAAUGAUCUUCCAUCCUCAAAUGCUGCAGCAGCCAGGGCUAUAGCAGGCAGAAGC
Molecule: non-coding RNA, 898 nt
Organism: Oryctolagus cuniculus (rabbit)
Lineage: Eukaryota; Metazoa; Chordata; Mammalia; Lagomorpha; Leporidae
Source: RefSeq, a predicted model, not a curated record